Molecule: ribosomal RNA, 429 nt
Filed under: Actinomycetes bacterium
Lineage: Bacteria; Bacillati; Actinomycetota; Actinomycetes
Description: Actinobacteria bacterium partial 16S ribosomal RNA
Rfam family: Bacterial small subunit ribosomal RNA
Source: RNAcentral
UAGGGAAUCUUCCGCAAUGGGCGAAAGCCUGACGGAGCAACGCCGCGUGAGUGAUGAAGGUCUUCGGAUCGUAAAACUCUGUUAUUAGGGAAGAACAAAUGUGUAAGUAACUAUGCACGUCUUGACGGUACCUAAUCAGAAUGCCACGGCUAACUACGUGCCAGCAGCCGCGGUAAUACGUAGGUGGCAAGCGUUAUCCGGAAUUAUUGGGCGUAAAGCGCGCGUAGGCGGUUUUUUAAGUCUGAUGUGAAAGCCCACGGCUCAACCGUGGAGGGUCAUUGGAACCUGGAAAACUUGAGUGCAGAAGAGGAAAGUGGAAUUCCAUGUGUAGCGGUGAAAUGCGCAGAGAUAUGGAGGAACACCAGUGGCGAAGGCGACUUUCUGGUCUGUAACUGACGCUGAUGUGCGAAAGCGUGGGGAUCAAACAGG